UACGUAGGGGGCAAGCGUUGUCCGGAAUCAUUGGGCGUAAAGAGCGUGUAGGCGGUUCGGUAAGUCGGCUGUGAAAGUCCAGGGCUCAACCCUGGGAUGCCGGUCGAUACUGCCGGACUAGAGUUCGGAAGAGGCGAGUGGAAUUCUCGGUGUAGCAGUGAAAUGCGUAGAUAUCGAGAGGAACACCAGUGGCGAAGGCGAGUCCCUGGAAAACACCUGACACUGAGGCACGAAAGCUAGGGGAGCAAACAGG
Molecule: ribosomal RNA, 253 nt
Filed under: uncultured bacterium
Lineage: Bacteria
Description: partial 16S ribosomal RNA
Rfam family: Bacterial small subunit ribosomal RNA
Source: RNAcentral